This 403-nucleotide ribosomal RNA is filed under the name uncultured bacterium. Its description in RNAcentral is "bacterial SSU rRNA". It matches the Rfam family "Bacterial small subunit ribosomal RNA", at positions 474 to 879 of the family's 1533-position model. The record is from RNAcentral.
UGUACCUUAUGAAUAAGGAUCGGCUAACUCCGUGCCAGCAGCCGCGGUAAUACGGAGGAUCCGAGCGUUAUCCGGAUUUAUUGGGUUUAAAGGGUGCGUAGGCGGCCUUUUAAGUCAGCGGUGAAAGUCUGUGGCUCAACCAUAGAAUUGCCGUUGAAACUGGGAGGCUUGAGUAUGUUUGAGGCAGGCGGAAUGCGUGGUGUAGCGGUGAAAUGCUUAGAUAUCACGCAGAACCCCGAUUGCGAAGGCAGCCUGCCAAGCCAUGACUGACGCUGAUGCACGAAAGCGUGGGGAUCAAACAGGAUUAGAUACCCUGGUAGUCCACGCAGUAAACGAUGAUCAUUAGCUGUUUGCGAUACAGUGUAAGCGGCACAGCGAAAGCGUUAAGUGAUCCACCUGGGGA